RNAcentral lists this ribosomal RNA (324 nucleotides) under uncultured bacterium. RNAcentral describes it as "bacterial SSU rRNA". It matches the Rfam family "Bacterial small subunit ribosomal RNA", at positions 30 to 355 of the family's 1533-position model. The record is from RNAcentral.
AUUGAACGCUGGCGGCAUGCCUUACACAUGCAAGUCGAACGGCAGCACGGGAGCAAUCCUGGUGGCGAGUGGCGAACGGGUGAGUAAUAUAUCGGAACGUGCCCGGUCGUGGGGAUAACGUAGCGAAAGCUACGCUAAUACCGCAUACGAUCUACGGAUGAAAGCGGGGGAUCGCAAGACCUCGCGCGAUUGGAGCGGCCGAUAUCAGAUUAGGUAGUUGGUGAGGUAAAGGCUCACCAAGCCGACGAUCUGUAGCUGGUCUGAGAGGACGACCAGCCACACUGGGACUGAGACACGGCCCAGACUCCUACGGGAGGCAGCAGU